This 374-nucleotide ribosomal RNA is filed under the name uncultured organism. RNAcentral describes it as "bacterial SSU rRNA". It matches the Rfam family "Bacterial small subunit ribosomal RNA", at positions 526 to 896 of the family's 1533-position model. The record is from RNAcentral.
CGUAGGGGGCAAGCGUUGUUCGGAAUUACUGGGCGUAAAGGGCGCGUAGGCGGCACGGCAAGUCAGGAGUGAAAGCCCGGGGCUCAACCCCGGAAUGUCUUUUGAUACUGCCGAGCUAGAGUGCGGAAGAGGCAACUGGAAUUCCCAGUGUAGCGGUGAAAUGCGUAGAUAUUGGGAAGAACACCUGAGGCGAAGGCGGGUUGCUGGGCCGACACUGACGCUGAGGCGCGAAAGCCAGGGGAGCGAACGGGAUUAGAUACCCCGGUAGUCCUGGCCCUAAACGAUGGAUACUUGGUGUGUGGGGUUCUCCAAGUCCCCGCGUGCCGGAGUUAACGCGUUAAGUAUCCCGCCUGGGGAGUACGGUCGCAAGGCUG